GGAGUCUAACAUGUACGCAAGUCAUUGGGUUUUAAAACCUAAAGGCAUAAUGAAAGUAAAGAAUUGUUUUUAACAAUUUGUGGGAUGAUAGAUUAUCUUUACAUUUUAUGUUUGAUAAUCUCGCAAUCCUGGGGCGUCUCAUUCUUAUUGCAAGAAGAGGCGCACCUUGAGCGUAUACGUUGGGACCCGAAAGAUGGUGAACUAUGCCUGGCGAGGACAAAGUCAGGGGAAACCCUGAUGGAGGUCCGUAGCGAUUCUGACGUGCAAAUCGAUCGUCGGAGCUGGGUAUAGGGGCGAAAGACUAAUCGAACCAUCUAGUAGCUGGKUCCCUCCGAAGUUUCCCUCAGGAUAGCUGGCAUUCAUUGAAAAAUUAUUAAGAGUCUCAUGCGGUAAAGCGAAUGAUUAGAGGCCUUGGGGCCGAAACGACCUCAACCUAUUCUCAAACUUUAAAUGGGUGAGAUCUCAAGCUUGSUUAAAUGAAGCUGUGAGAUAAAUAUAUAUUAUUUAAUUUUCAUUCAUUAAAAAAUUUAUUGRCCAAAAAAUAAAAUGAUGAAAUUAUAUAUAUAAUAAGGAGCAGAGUGCCAAGUGGGCCAAUUUUG
This 599-nucleotide ribosomal RNA is filed under the name Forficula auricularia (European earwig). RNAcentral describes it as "eukaryotic LSU rRNA". It matches the Rfam family "Eukaryotic large subunit ribosomal RNA", at positions 670 to 1139 of the family's 3401-position model. Lineage: Eukaryota; Metazoa; Arthropoda; Insecta; Dermaptera; Forficulidae. The record is from RNAcentral.